GGACUAAUCUUAGUCCUCUCAAACUGUUGUAACUCCGAGGAUUUGAUGGCAAUACCUCUAGCUUGAGCACUAUAAUAACUUGGCAAAUGCGGAGGCAUUUUUGCAUACCAUUCUCACUUGUGCAGUAUAUCACUGUAUGAACAACCAGCAGAAAGAAACAGUUCACAAUAAACUGCACACUCAGCCCAUGCCACAUCGAAGAUGGCAGUGAAUUGAACAGCAUAGUGAAAACAGAAGUAAGAAGAAAAAGAUUUGAGGUUCCUCAGAUUCGAAAGCUGAGAUGUUAAUUUUGAAAAACAUUUAUGACAAAGGACAAAAAAGAAUGAUAACAACAAUGAUAACCAUUAUUUCCUUUUAUUACCUUCUUUUUUCUCUGGCAAAUACU
Molecule: unclassified non-coding RNA, 385 nt
Filed under: Hevea brasiliensis (rubber tree)
Lineage: Eukaryota; Viridiplantae; Streptophyta; Magnoliopsida; Malpighiales; Euphorbiaceae
Source: RNAcentral